AAAAUCCACAGAAGCUGACUCAACGUCGACGGGGUCGACGGUGAGACCUAAACGGAGAAGCUCCGUGGGUUCAAGGGUUAAUCCCACAGUAACAAUUAAUCUACAAAUUGCAAAGGUUCUAAAUUUAUAGGUCAAAAGGGUGGCCAUGAGGGGGGUAGGAGAGUCACGUGCGAGAAGAGGAGGAAGCACAUGUGAGAGAAGGAGGAGGAAACCACCGUUCUCCUCCCUGUCUUGCAAUUUACAUACGGUGGUGGGGUCAUGUUUUGGAUACGGAGGAUCUACAUAGGGUCCCAGGCUGCGGAUGGAUUCACGUGGGUGCUGCUGCCCUACUCGGCUGCCUUACACCCGGUGCUUUUUCAUCUAAUUACAAACUCUCGAAGUUAACUUGGGUUUUAAAAUUUUUACUUUAUAUUGUUUUUCGUCAUUUUAAAUUAUUUAUUAAGUUAAUUCAUGUCUAUAUUACUUUUUAUUUGAA
Long non-coding RNA from Gossypium arboreum, 475 nucleotides. RefSeq lists it as uncharacterized. The transcript has 2 exons. The record is from RefSeq and is a predicted model, not a curated record. Lineage: Eukaryota; Viridiplantae; Streptophyta; Magnoliopsida; Malvales; Malvaceae.